This is a long non-coding RNA of Acanthopagrus latus (yellowfin seabream), 936 nucleotides long. RefSeq lists it as uncharacterized. Lineage: Eukaryota; Metazoa; Chordata; Actinopteri; Spariformes; Sparidae. The transcript has 4 exons. The record is from RefSeq and is a predicted model, not a curated record.
CGGGGAGACAAACACUGUCAGGGAAACCCGAAACCCGCCAGGAUCACCGCCACACUCCGCUCUGCAUAAUACAACAAACUGAGGCCAUCUUCCCCGCGGCGGUGCACUCCUGCUCGGCUCUGCGGAAAGCUGUGAGCCGCUUGACGCAGCUGUGGACGGGCUCAGAUGUCUGCAGCGGCCGAGCGCCCUCCUGCCUCCAGCUGAGACCUGUUGAUCAUGACAGCACAGGAGACCGGCCUGUUGAGGAGGCUAACCACGAAAGCUAGCUGAGUGCGUUAGCCUCACUGCUACUGAAUGAGUCUACAUGUACUCAGAGAUCAUGUCACUGGAUGUCCCCUGUGCUGAACUCAGCUGUGGGCCACCCUUCAUGUGCAGAGUGUCAGAUGGGGCUUUAUCUGCUGUCAGCAAAUCAGCACAGAGAGGAAACCCAACCAGCCCGCACCACACAGCACUACAGUAGAUGGAUGAAUGAAGGCCUUAUUGCCACUAGAGGAAUUCGCCGUGCGUGAGACGGCCACAGCAACAAUAUGACCUCUGUAUUUCUGGAUUCUGUCUCGGACGGAAGGAAGAAACGCCCUGAACUGAUGCAAGGAAAAGAAAUGCACUAACUCACUCAUUCGGGUGUGUUCAUUACGCUGUUGAUGAAAUGGGUAGAUUGGCACAGAAGGCCUCAUUUGAAGCAUCUUUAACACAAUCAGUUUGGUUUAUUUAUACUGCUGAUAUUGUUCUGCUACUGGGUAUUGUUCUGGUCCUUUGUUUUUUUUUCAUCUGCGAACAAACCUUCCUUUAUCAGGUGAUAAAGUGUGGAACUGAAUUCUUCCUCAGUUUCACCGCCCUCUGACACCCUGAGGCUGAUACUAAUACAAUCUAGUCAACACUCACAACAGAUUUAAAUAACAGUUUAUACUUCCUCAAAGGUUCAUGACACAACACAGA